Molecule: non-coding RNA, 2906 nt
Organism: Nomia melanderi (Alkali bee)
Lineage: Eukaryota; Metazoa; Arthropoda; Insecta; Hymenoptera; Halictidae
Source: RefSeq, a predicted model, not a curated record
UGAAAAUUGUAAUUUAGUUAGAUUUUAAUUUAUUGAAAAUUGUAGUUUAGUUAGAUUGUAAUUUAUUGCAAAUUGUAGUUUAGCUGGAUUUUAAUUUAUUGCAAAUUGUAGUUUAGUUAGACUUUAAUUUAUUGCAAAUUAUAAUUUAGUUGAGAGAUUUUAGUUCAUUGAAAGUUAUAGUUUAAUUAGUUUAUAAUUUAUUGAAAGUUGUAGUUUAGUUAGAUUUUAAUUAAUUAAAAAUCGAAUAUUAAUAUAUAUAAACUGAAGCAAAAAUAAGCAACAAGGAUAUUAAAUGUAUGUCAUGGGAAAAUUAUUUGGCUUGUGAUGGUUUUAGUUGUCUUUUAGAUAAAUAUGUAAUACAGCUGUUUGUAAUUAAAUGUUUUAUUUGUUACUAACUAAUUAACAUUUGAUGUUUUUCAAUGAAAUAUACAUGUAGAAGUACCUCAUUUGUAAAAGGGUGAAUUUCAAGUGCAAAACUUGUAUAUUGGUGCUACAAUUAUUAUUUCUUAAUAACAAUUAACAACAGUUAUGACAUUAUUCCUGUUUUCUAUAACAGGUUCACUCAGAACCAAUAUAUAACAGUUCCGAACAGUUAUUUCUGGAACCUAUUCAACCCCUAGUUUUAAGAAGGAAAUAAAAAGGGGUGACUUUAUACUACUUGGCUGACCAAAUGCGUUCUUAUACUACUGAACAGUUCACAAACUGUUAAAAUCAUUUUUCCUGUGUACUCCUUUCAUAUGUCUCUUAAUUCCCUCAGUGUCUUUUAACUGAAUGAAAUUCUGCAACUGAUUAAGUAUGCAAGUACUCAACUACCAAUAGAAAAUUAGUUUAACAGAUGGUGAAACAGGUCUCGACGUUUCCAGUUGAGAACAAGACUGAAUAUUAAAAUUCAGAAAUCUACUAACUCAGUUAAGUAAUUUAUUCAUCUACCUCAACUUAUUCAGAAACUUAAUGUAAACUUUCUACAGGUAAACAGGACAAAUUCCCAAUUCUGCGAAUACUUUAUAAAUUUAUAAAAUCUGGUCUCCAAUGGAAACAUAUAACUGAUAAAUAUAUCAAAAUACUAAAAGACAAGAGCGUAAACAGGACAAAUUCCCAAUUCUGCGAAUACUUUAUAAACAUAUAAAAUCUAGUCUCCAAUGGAAACAUCAUACAAUAACUGAUAUAUUAAAAAAAACUAAAAGACAAGAGCGCAACUUCACAUACAUCAAGAACCAAACUACAUGUGGUCAUGCAGCAAACGUCACAAUGGGAAACGUUGGACGAAUAAAAAUAGCAGGUGGCGCUGUAAUUGGGCAUGAAACAGCUGUAUUUUCCAUGGAUAAGUCCGUAAAAUAACUGGAGUGGAAGGAGGCUCGAUCUCGCGGUACACAGGGAUACCACAGGAGCACGCGGAGGAUGCUUUAUGGGGUCCCUCCUUCGAAUUGAUGGUAUGCCUUGUUACCGGGAAGAACCGUGCUCCCCCGGGUAAUAUCGUAUACAAUUAUGUCCACCGAAGGGACGGCAUGCAUUAUGGAUGCCGGUAAAUCAUGUCGCAGGCUUGGUUAACUCUGCAAAUGAUCUGGUGAAUCACGGUGCUCGCUGACUCUCGCCGGAUAACCUCGGAUUUCAAAGGAGACUGGAGAUUCGUGAGGAAUAAACCAACUGUGAAUGCUUCCGGACGUUACAAUCUUUUCUAUCGUUUUUCCUUUCGUUCCACGAUGUUCGCUAAUUCAUCCCCGUGUGCCAAGUGAUCCUAUAGUACUUCUCCCGUUCAGAAUGCCGGCACAGUGUUCCUCAGUGACCAAUGAUAUUGACUGCCCAACGGAAACAUCUCCAUUCUUAUAUUUAUAUUGCUAUCGUUUUCACGUGGACGCAAAUUACAGGACUCCUGUGUUCAGGGAGUCCCAUUGAAACCAGGCGGAAAAGUUGGAUGCUCACAAGUUGGAGAACACAAGAAUUUCAAGCUUUCCAACAAGCUUUCCAAAGAAGCAACGCCGCUCGAAGCGUUAAGCGACUGAUCGUUGGAAGAAUAUUCACAUUUCUUGAUCAAUUGACAUGCACCUACUCGUCAGUGACUGAACAACACUGUUCCGGCGAUCACGACAACAGGCUUUAAACACCGUGAUGUUAAAAUUUAAUAUUGCACAACAUCGAUAACACUUCGAGUUUGUCUCAGGGAAAAGUUUGUGAUCCACGAUAAUUACAAUAGAUGGAAUUAUCAAUGUCUUUUUUCCUUGUAUUCUUUGUUUUCCUCAGCCGCGGUGACCGAACGCUGAUGAUCUGGUGUAUUUAGCCAAUAAUUUCAAUAAUUUAUAAUACUCUCCUGGUUAAAACAGCCAGGCGCAAUUCUUGACAAUUCCACAAGUCAUUGGAGCAACGUUCCCGAUUAAAUUAACGUUAAUUAAUUAAAACUCGCCGCGUCAAUAUCCUGCGUCUCUGAAAAUAUAUUAUAAUUCACCGAUAUACAUCGUAGAGAUCAUAGUAAUUAACUCAAAGAAUACUAAUUCUACUCCGUGUACAUAUUGUACACACAUACACUACAACAGUGUAUUGUAUGUGUAUAUAUAUACAUAAAUAUGUACAAGUGUAUGCAUACCAACUAAUGUAACGUUAACGAGUAAAACUAGUUUAAUAUCGUUAGUGACCUUAAUUAAUAACUACGUCGAUUAACCGCUAAGUCGCUAUUCGUAUAUUUAUAGGUUAACCGGAACGUUGCUAACAGCCGGGGAAAUUGUCGAAUACUAUAAUAAUCCUUCGCGUGUUCACCGAUCAUGGAAAAAUAUGGAAAUGUUAAUAACAAUGUAGCCAUCAGCGUUGUCAUCCGCAACGUAUACAUAAGUAUACAUAUAUAUAUAUAUAUAUAUACAUAAGUAUAUACAUAUACGUAUAUAACUAACAUUAUUAUAUUAUUAUGCUUAGCAAAU